GAUGAAGAACGUAGCGAAAUGCGAUACGUAAUGUGAAUUGCAGAAUUCAGUGAAUCAUCGAAUCUUUGAACGCAUAUUGCGCUCUCUGGUAUUCCGGAGAGCAUGCUUGUUUGAGUAUCAGUAAACACCUCAACUCCCUUUCUUCUUGAAAUGGAGCUGGACUUGAGUGAUCCCAACGCCUUAUUCAUAAAGUGGCGGGUUACUUGAAAUGCAGGUGCAGCUGGACUUUUCUCUGAGCUAUAAGCAUAUCUAUUUAGUCUGCCUCAAAACAGAUUAUUACCUUUGCUGCAGCUAACAUAAAGGAGAUUAGUUCUUGUGCUGACUGAUGCAGGAUUCACAAAGACCGCUUCGGCUGUCUUUGUAAACUCGAUCUCAAAUCAAGUAAGACUACCCGCUGAACUUAAGCAUAUCAAUAAGCGCGGA
RNAcentral lists this unclassified non-coding RNA (423 nucleotides) under soil metagenome. RNAcentral's name for it is "partial contains 5.8S ribosomal RNA, internal transcribed spacer 2, and large subunit ribosomal RNA". The stretch from base 1 to 120 matches the Rfam family "5.8S ribosomal RNA", at positions 35 to 154 of the family's 154-position model. The record is from RNAcentral.